AAAUAUUAUUGAAGUGACUACUUUUUUCACUAAAUUCUUCGUCAAUGGAAAACUUCGGUGCAUUCUUCCGCUAUUCCGUUUUCCUUAUUGCUUACACUUGUGGUAUGUAUGCAACUACAAUUGCUAUUUGCGGUUUCCACUUGAACUUACAAUUUUUUUUUUCUCUAUAAAGUUUUUCUCUUUCAUUUUUAUUUUGUUUGUUAUGACAUUUGUGAUAAGGUAAAGAGGAGGCACACGAUAUGCAUUACCAAGAGUAAUAUCAUAGAAUAGUGUCGCCUAAUAAUCAGUAAAGUAGAAUGAAAUCAUAGAUCUCGUUCAAAUCUUACUAGAAACAAAAAGGCGCUGCACAAUUUUUCUAUAUAUGUCUAAGCUUUGAUAGAUAAAGUUAUUCGGGGUACGAGCAAGCUGAUAAUAUCACUUUGUAAAUUAUGACAAAAACAGAAGGAAAGGGUAUAUCACAAUUUUGUCCCAUAAUUUUUGAAAAGAAUAAAUAUGCAAAUCAUAAUCAUGGUUCCUUCUUAUUUAAAACCCACUAAUGAAUAUGAAUUACUCGACAAAAUGUGAUGUUAUUGAAUUGAACUUUUACAUUUCUCUUUUACGUAUGAAUUAUAAUAAUUAUUAUAUUUUUAUAGUGAUUUUGUAAUGUUUCAUUGGUAGCUAUGUUCGUAAUGACUCAAGUUCUCUCAACAAAUGCUCAGAAUGCAUUAUGUGAAGCAGAAUAUCCCGGUCCUUGUGUUCCAUGGAAUCCAUUUUGUACAGGUGAUUGUCAAAAUCGUUUUAGACCGAAUUUUGUUACUUCAGAGUGUGUGGAGAAAAAUCAUGAUACUGUUUGUGUGUGCUUCUACAAGAGUGACAAGCCAUGUCCACAACCAAAGACUCAUUAGAACUUGCAUCAUAUUCUUCUAUCACUUCCCAAAAGAAAUGUUAUGCAAAGAAAGAAAAGAUUGUAUUUUUAUUUGAUGAUACUACCGAG
RNAcentral lists this long non-coding RNA (973 nucleotides) under Nicotiana tabacum (common tobacco). RNAcentral's name for it is "long non-coding RNA (NTAB_LNC015866)". The record is from RNAcentral. Lineage: Eukaryota; Viridiplantae; Streptophyta; Magnoliopsida; Solanales; Solanaceae.